RNAcentral lists this ribosomal RNA (475 nucleotides) under uncultured organism. RNAcentral describes it as "partial 16S ribosomal RNA". It matches the Rfam family "Bacterial small subunit ribosomal RNA", at positions 330 to 797 of the family's 1533-position model. The record is from RNAcentral.
CGUACACUCCUGCGGGAGGCAGCAGUAGGGAAUCUUCCACAAUGGGUGCAAACCUGAUGGAGCAAUGCCGCGUGAGUGAAGAAGGUCUUCGGAUCGUAAAGCUCUGUUGUUAGAGAAGAACACGUGCUAGGUAACUACUAGCGCCUUGACGGUAUCUAACCAGAAAGUCACGGCUAACUACGUGCCAGCAGCCGCGGUAAUACGUAGGUGACAAGCGUUGUCCGGAUUUAUUGGGCGUAAAGGGAGCGCAGGCGGUCUGUUUAGUCUAAUGUGAAAGCCCACGGCUUAACCGUGGAACGGCAUUGGAAACUGACAGACUUGAAUGUAGAAGAGGAAAAUGGAAUUCCAAGUGUAGCGGUGGAAUGCGUAGAUAUUUGGAGGAACACCAGUGGCGAAGGCGAUUUUCUGGUCUAACAUUGACGCUGAGGCUCGAAAGCGUGGGGAGCGAACAGGAUUAGAUACCCCGGUAGUCCCA